This 327-nucleotide ribosomal RNA is filed under the name Mimetus sp. GH1182. RNAcentral's name for it is "partial 12S ribosomal RNA". Lineage: Eukaryota; Metazoa; Arthropoda; Arachnida; Araneae; Mimetidae. The record is from RNAcentral.
AUUUAGAUAACAAAGGUAGUAAAAAUCUUUAUCAAAACCAUUACAAAAUGGCGGCAUUUAACUUUAUUAGAGGAACAUGUUUUAUAAUUGACUCCACACACUCAUUUUCACUUAUUCCAAAAAUUUUAUAUACCACCAUUAAACAAAUUUAUAAAAUAUAUUUUUAAAAUAAAAAUCUAAAAAAUUAGGUAAAGGUGUAAACAAUUAAUAAGAAUAAAUGUGUUACAUUAAACAAAAUUUAAGAAUAUUUUAUAAAAUUAAAUUUGAAAAAGGAUUUAAAAGUAAAAUAAAUAUAAUAUACUUAUAUGAAUUAAUAAAUAAAUGUGC